GUUGGUGUUUAGAUCUUCUCACUGGAACGCAGCUGAAACCAACAGCCUGAAGGACGUUAGAGAAUGGAACACCCGCGCUCUUCAGCAAGACGAGGGAAACAGCACUGUAAAGAUGUCCCACUGGAUUCUGGCCUCGCUGAUUUCUGAUGAGAACUCUGCAGUCAUUCUGAUUCUCAUGUUGAAGAAAAAUUAUUCUGACACUUGUUAAAUGAACCUUGGUUUACACCUGGCAGGAAUGAAUCCAGCUAAGAAGACAGUUCCCAGCCGUGCAAAAGGAGUUGCUGGGUUUCCGAGAGUGCUUUAGGUGGAGAGAGGCUGCUUAGGUUCGAACUAUGGUCUUUUUACCUUCUAUUUCCCCAUCUUUAAUGCAAUGUCCAAAGUGCCAGACCACAAGGUAACCUUGAGAAUGAAACCAUUUGGCCAAGAAAGACCAAGAAGAGAGACAGAGGCCUAUCUCCCUGCUGAUUGGUCUCCCAGCCCUCAGAUGCCUAUCUCAGAACAUCUUUAAUGAAGCAGAAACAAAACCCUAAUUAUACAAGUCUUUAGUGGGGUGGCGGUGGAGGUGGGAAGAAGGUCUUCUUUUCUUGCUGGCUGAAGGAAAUUCAUGAUACAAUCCCUUCCAAGAAAAUUUUAUAGAAAAAUAAACUCACCACCCCAAAAUGCUUUCAGAUUAUUUUUACAGCUAGGUAGGAAAUUACAAAACAAGCCCAUUAUAUAUUUGAACUUUUGACAUAUUUUGAUAAGAAGUGGAGCUAUU
Diceros bicornis minor is the source of this 757-nucleotide long non-coding RNA. RefSeq lists it as uncharacterized. The record is from RefSeq and is a predicted model, not a curated record. Lineage: Eukaryota; Metazoa; Chordata; Mammalia; Perissodactyla; Rhinocerotidae. The transcript has 3 exons.